Styela clava is the source of this 388-nucleotide non-coding RNA. The record is from RefSeq and is a predicted model, not a curated record. NCBI's taxonomy places the organism in Eukaryota, Metazoa, Chordata, Ascidiacea, Stolidobranchia, Styelidae.
UUAUAACUUCAAGAUAUAUAUUUUAAAGAUCCAAAUACCAGCUAUGAAGAACGUAUUUAUUUUAAUAGCCAUUGGAGUUGUGUUUGCUACCAUUUACAGUGGUGCUAUAGCUGAAGAUGACGACGAUCAAGGAGAGAAUGGAAUUGAGCUCGACAUUCUCGGUCAUACUAAUCAAAGGAGGAUGAUCGAAGGCGCCUCGUGGAAAAGAAAGAAGCGUGAUAUUUUAUUCCCGAACAAUGAAGAUGAUAUUGCUCUUUUCCGUUGACUGUUUAAACAGCAAAAUCAGAAAAAUGCAACAAGGACCCAUCGUUUGUCACAUAUACAGUAAUGCUAUUGUCAUUUCAAUUUGACGAAAAUUAGAAAUUUAUUAUAUAUAUAUAUAUAUAAA